GGUGGCUCAGUGGUAGAGCGCUUGCCUUGCUUGCAUGACGCCCUGGGUUCAAUUCCUCAGCACCA
This 65-nucleotide transfer RNA is filed under the name Dipodomys ordii (Ord's kangaroo rat). It matches the Rfam family "tRNA". From Rfam's summary of the family: Transfer RNA (tRNA) molecules are approximately 80 nucleotides in length. Their secondary structure includes four short double-helical elements and three loops (D, anti-codon, and T loops). Lineage: Eukaryota; Metazoa; Chordata; Mammalia; Rodentia; Heteromyidae. The record is from Rfam by way of RNAcentral.